AAGCGAAACACAGGCAUACGUGCCUGUGUCUGCCAAGUGUCGUGACUUGGUACUGAUGAGCAGCGAGGG
RNAcentral lists this non-coding RNA (69 nucleotides) under Acinetobacter thutiue. Lineage: Bacteria; Pseudomonadati; Pseudomonadota; Gammaproteobacteria; Moraxellales; Moraxellaceae. The record is from RNAcentral.